CAUAUUGCAGCCCAAGCCCAAUAAUUCAUUACCCAACUCAAAUCUUUAUUCAUUACCCAAUUUUUUAAGUUUAACAUUAAAUCACUCACAAAUCAUUUACUCUUUUCUUUCUCUCUCUUCAUCAAAGAAAAUUUAGAGAAUCUCUCUCCCCUCUGAAAACCCUAACCGCCAGCAUAUCUCACAACCUCCUUCAAUCUGUUUUAGACCUUGUUUGGUUGUUCAACCAUCAUCAUCUUCAUCCUCUCUUUCUCCUCUAUUCUUCUAUCGAAUUUAUUUUCAGAUUGGAGACAUUUUUUAAUAUCUUAACGGCCACCUUUUUGCUAGAUCUUGACCACCAUACACCAUUUUUGAAAAAACCAUCACCAUAUAAAGACACUCCUCCAUCUCCUCUACAAAACCCUUAAAGAAAAAAAAAGAUUGGAGCACUUCGUCAGUGACCACCGCGCCGGAAAAUACAAUCUUUGGCCGGAAAACACAUUGUCUCUGUUGUCUUCCUCUUCACUUCUUUCAUACAUGCAACAACAAUGACAACAACAACAACAAAAAAUCAGGGUUUGGAUAUCAAUUUAUUUUGUAUAUGCUGGAAAAUUUGUAUAUUUCUAUUUUCUUUUUAAUAAGGUAUAAUUAAUUUGUUUGAAGAAUAUUUCUUUGGAUUUGUUUAUAUUUUAUGUUUAGAUUUUUUUCCUUCUUUGAUUUAGAGAAGAUUAUAUUUGGAUUUUUUUUUUCAUGAAUAAGACAGAUUUGCACUCUCUAAAAACAAUAAAAGUGGCAGGUGAAUAUUUUGUGUUGUGUGGAUCUAUUAUAUUAAAUUAUUUUUUGUUUUUCAUCUUUGUAAAGUGUUUUUCUUCUGUCCUCUAUUUGUAGAGUGUUUUUCAUCUUUUGUGUUUUUCAUCUUUUGGAUCUAUUUCCCCCAUAUUUCACUACUCUAAAAUUAUUAUUUAUUUUGUAUUUGAUCUGCUAACUUGUCCUCCCUUUUUAGUUACUUUUUGCUGAUUCCGUUUUUCCUUCCCUUGUAAUUUUUUUUAUCUAAAUAAGUUGAUAAUUUAAUAUAAAAAAAUAACAUCAUUUUUUACAUCUUUGUUAAUUUAGUUUCACUUUAAAUUGUUGUUCUUUUUUUCUUUGCUGAGAAAUUGUUCUUUUUUCUAAUGUUGAUGUUUUCUCUGUAAAUAUAAGUUAAAUAAUUAAAACUUUUAAAAUAAAUAAGUUCAUGAAUGAGAAAGAUGUUAUUUUUCAAUUAGUUCUUUUUUGAGUUUGUUUGUUUGUUUUGGACAUAUUGUAUUAUUCUAUUUUUUUCAUGAAGAUGAAGUAACUAUAAAAUCUAAUCAAAAUGAAAAAUAAAAGUACAAUCUCAAAAAAAAAUUGUUCAUAAACUUUCUUUUAUAGAUCUGAAAAGUAAAAAUAAAAGUAAGAAAUAGCAAGAUAUGUCUAUGUAUGUUUUAUAUGUAACUAAUUCAUACAAAAACUUUUUUUAUAUGUAUGAUUUUUAGUAAAAAAUUACAUAACAACAACAAACAUUGUUUCUAUCUAUACAUUGUUUUAUACGUAACUAAUUCAUACAAAAAUCAUUCUUUAGUAAUUGAUAGAAGUGAUAUAUAUAUUAAUAAAAUUAUUUUUGUUAUAGUCAGUUUCAUAAUUAGUAGAAGUGAUAUACAUAUGAAUAAAAUUCAUCAUUAUUAACUUAAUAACUUACCCAUGUUCUUUGUAGUUGCUGAAGAGAGAUAAGCGAUGAAGAUAAAAAAAGUGGAGAAACAAAAAAAGAAGUUAGAUGAUGAAAAGUGACAUGAUAUUAUUUUUGAAGAAUUUGUAUUAAAGUUGAAUGUGAAAGUUUAUUUUUUUCAUACCUUAAUCUUGAUGUAACUUGCAUCUGGAAUGAAGUUUUUCAUCUUCUUGUUUGUUAGAUAGAGAUAAAUAUUUGUUUAUGCAAAAACACAACACAAUCAAGUUAAUAGAGAAAAUAUAAAAAGAAAAAAAAAGAUGAGAGAAAGAAAAAAUAAAAACAGAAAAAAGAAAGAUUGAAGAUGAGAGAAAGUGAUUUAAAUCUCAAAUGAGUAUAUAAUGAAAUGUAAGUUAAUAAAAGAGUGGGAAAACAUUGUGGAUUUGAAAUUUGAGUGAAAAGGUAAAAACAAUAAAGUAUAGAAAAAUGACUGAUGUGACAUAAAACAUUGCAACAUGUGAAACUAUUUUUUAUUUAUAAAAGUAAUAGGUUUGGUUGAUUUUCAAUUGUGGCUCAGUUGUGGCUGACUAAAAAAGUAGUUUUUGUCUCACAAAACAUGUCAAACGGCUCAGUUAGUUUAAAAAUGGCUUGGUUCAACACAAUUUAGUUCAGUUAGA
This 2331-nucleotide long non-coding RNA is filed under the name Trifolium pratense (red clover). Its description in RNAcentral is "long non-coding RNA (TPRA_LNC000674)". Lineage: Eukaryota; Viridiplantae; Streptophyta; Magnoliopsida; Fabales; Fabaceae. The record is from RNAcentral.